Molecule: long non-coding RNA, 6037 nt
Organism: Pipistrellus kuhlii (Kuhl's pipistrelle)
Lineage: Eukaryota; Metazoa; Chordata; Mammalia; Chiroptera; Vespertilionidae
Exons: 2
Source: RefSeq, a predicted model, not a curated record
AUAAAAGAAAAGCACAAACUGGAGGGUAGUGCAGAAGGAGCCCUGCCCACCUGUGCCCAGAUGUGAGAACCCUAUUUCAGUUUGACUUCUGCCCAAACAGCUGGUCCAUUGGAGGAGCCUCAGUUUCCUUUGCUGUCUUCCUUCAGUGGGCUUUUUACAGGAUUAAAUAUAUUGUGUGCGUUAUUUCUCAUGGAAGCAAAAUGUAUUCAUUAUGGUAAAACAAAAACUACAAUUAGGCAAAAUAAAGCCAUUUCCUGACAUAGUUAAACUCAGGCAAAAGAGUUGAAAUGAACAGGAUGGAUCAUUUUCUGCAAACAGGACCUCAUUGAAAUGUUACCCCACACCACCUCAGGAAGGGAGGGAAUCAUUAUGGCAGAUUCAAAAAAGAGGAAACAGGCACAGAGAAGAUAAAGACUGUGCCCAAGUUCACUCUGACUGUAAGUCAGCUAAGCUUGGAGUCCUUGCAUGGCUAAAGCACACAAUUCAUUUCUUACUACACAUUCUUUCUGAACUCAGACUAAAGGGCCCAGAUUGAGGCAAGUUCUUCCCUAUUUAACCUGCAGAAUCCUUCCCUGGUGCCAAAGGUCUUCCAUCCUGGGAGGUGUGAGUGAGUCACAGGGGAGGGGCAAGAAUGAGCCUGUGUUCUCAGGAGUGCUAUUAGCAAAGUGAGUCACCGUGGUUCUGUAUCAGCCUCUGCAGCGGGGCCUCACCUUCGCAUGGCCCCCGCCCCACCCCAGGCCCUGCCUGGCUAUCUGAGAGAAGGUCCUCCCUCUUCUUCAGAACCCACUGAGGUUGUCAGUGACCUCAGCUCCCAAAGGGUGCGUCACAAAUCCUUGUGGCAGGACUCCCCUUUGCACCGCAGUCUGCACAGCACUUCCCUAUGAAGUACAUCACUGGAUAUUGCUUUCCUCCACCUCCUUUAAGAGCUGAAGAAACAAGAGGCCCCGAAAGGUUAAAUCGAGUUUCCAAGGCUGCCCGGAAAUUUGGCGACCAUGGAGACCCUAGUGUGAGUUUUCCGACUCCCAAGAGGAUGGCUUUUGCAAAAUACCUAUGAAUGCCUGUGUGCUCAUAGGGAUGGUAUGCUUGAGGCUUGGAGUGUUGGGUAGGAAUGGAGGAAGGAAGGACCAAGCACCAGGAACAUGGGGUGGGCACAGCUGAUGGUGGGAGUGGUCUAGUAUAAAAUGGUCAGUGGGUAUAAAUUCAAUAAUUGGUCUUAACUAAGGAUAUUUUCAUGGAGGUGGACCACGGGAAAGGGGUUGGAGUCCUACUGGCUAUGUCUGUCUGGAAGGUACAAGGAUUCAGAGCCGUGGCUGCAGACCUAACCCAGGCGCUUAGAUCUCAUCUGAACACUGUCCAAUUCAGAGGAUGCCCUGCACUUGACCUGUGCCUGCCAAAUGUCAUGACUCAGAAACCUGGUCCCUUCCCAAACACACCUAAUACCAAUUUUAUUAACAAAGAGAGAGAUGCCAACUGGACAGAGUGAGGUUCCUGUCCGAACCGGUCAGGCCCAGGGCAACCCAAGGCCUCCAGGUGGGGUCCUUUGGGAGAGGUGGCUGAGAGCAGCUGAAUGGAGCCUCAGCUAUUAUACAUAGACUAUUCACAGCACUUGAAGCUUCUGAGUCAAGACAGAGCCUGCCCACUCUCUCUCCAGGAUUCAGAUAGAGCUGAAAUCCUGUUAAGUUGUUAUCAGCUCACAGCCUGAACAUUUCCUCAUUCAGCAAAAAUGAUGCUGCGCCUCUGAGUGCAGGGUGCUUGCUCCGUCUGUCCCAGGAGACUAAAGGGAGGAGUAAGAAGAGGAGGCCAAUGCCCAGGGUGCCUACUGCUUACAGAGGAAUCAGGAAUCACAACCAAGAGUUCAAACUUUCAUUAAAAUUGUAUUUUUCUUUGGAGCCUCCACCCUGCACUUAAUGUGUUAUUAAGCCCUUAAAAAAAUAAAGGAAAAUUCAGCAACAAGAAUUAAUACUUAUUAACUCUCUUGGGUUUAAAUUAAACACACACACACACACACACACACACACACACACACUCGUGCGUGCGUGCAUGCAUGUGAAUCAUGAAGGUAGGGGAAAUGACAUUGUGAACUGGCCAAUACUUUCUCAUUUAAUUUAGGAGUAAUUAGUCCCAUUACAGAGAGGAGAAAGUGAGGUAAAAUAAAUGGACCUCCCUUGCUGCUUUCAAAGAAAGACAGGGCUGCUACUCGUGAUAGAGGAAUAGUUAUCCCAGAGAUGGGAAAUGGCAGCCUUCAGGAUCAUAAGCAGCAGGUGAGAAAUGGCAGCUAUGUCACUUUUAAUGCCAUUAUUUAGGAGUAGUGACAGAUGAACAAUCUUCCCAAAGGUUGCCUGGCAGAGCUAUGACCCAGAACAAUUAGAACUGAUGACCCACAGGGACCCUGCUAUUUCUAUGCAGAAGCUUCUUGAAAGAUAUGCUAGUGAGUCAGAGAGUGGAUGGUGGUGGAUGGAACCAGAGCAGGACAUUCUAUACAAGGACAGCUAGAGGAAUCAGGACAGUGGUGAUGAGAAAGUGGAAGGAGCUGGGGGACAUGCAAGCAAGAGACCUGUCUACCUGACAUGCAAAUAGGUUAAACGCACUGAGAACUCACUAUCCAUCAGACAUUUGUGGCCUUGACAUCUGCUUUCCAAAUGAUGGUAGCUUACUUAGCAAGCACCCGAGCGUUCUGUCUCCUGUGCAGGUGUGUCUGUCACAUAAAAAUAACUAUCAUUUAUUGCACACCAGCUAUGUGCUUGGUAUUUUAAAUAUAUUGCUCCUAAUCCUCAUGACAGCUCUAAAUAGGAAAUGGCAUGGUACUAAUUUUAGAGGCAGAAACUCAAACUAUGAGAUUAAAGGUUUUGCCCAUGAUGGUGGAGCCACUGAUAGUUAGAACUAGAAUUUAGUCUCCAGCAUCCUUUUCCUGCUGCAAUAAAGUCUACACAGUUGUAGAUAAGGGGAAUAAGAAGUUUUGCAUGAGCCUCUAUCUGCCUAUGAGGUAAAAGCCUUUAAGGGAAAUGAUGGACAUCCAGGAUGUGGGGAUACACAGAAAGGUUUAUACCAGAUCACAACAUCUUCAAGCAAAAGAAUGGCUGGGACAGGCUAUAACUGGUGCCUGACAAAACAUGUUCCUUACUGGAAGAAGUUCAUGGGCUUGAGCUAGGGAGCAAAGCAACACAUCCCUUCAAAUAGUCAACAACAGGACCAAGCUACAGAUACUCUGGUUGAUUUGCUUUACUGAAGUUUUUGAUGUAAGAAACGGUCUUGGUUCCUCAUUCUCAUAUCAAGAUCCAUUUCCCCCCAAUUUCCCAGUUAGGUAACUUGAGAGAAAAAGUAGUUAAGCCAAGAGACCUGGGGGUGAAUCUUGACUCUACUGAUUUAUUACAGACCAUGUAGGCUUAAGGUUCACAUUCUCAGAAUUUCACAAUUUUCUUGUCAUCUUAAUGGGCUGGUAUUCACUUAACUGUGUUUGGGGGGACAUUAAAUACAUUCCAGAAGGUAGACUAUAGGUUCAUUGGGUAUGUGGCUUAGUGCCUAAGAGUGUUUCGGUCUUUGGCAGACAAACCCAAACUGGUUUUAAACCAGAGAGCAGGUACCUAUUACCUUUGUUUCUCCAUCCACUUCCACUAUGGAACUGCAGCCAUCACUAGGAAUGACCCAUCCAGAUCCCAUUUACCAGGGAAGUAUUCCCACCCCACAACCAGGAGAGUUUGCAGCUAACAGCUCACCCUGUACUGUUUUCUGGGGAAUUUCCUUUAGUCAGCAGAAGUUGCCUUACCAGGAGGUACCUUAGAAGUUAGGUCCACCAUGUUCUCCAUUUUCCUUGGGGUUUCCUGUGACUAAUGAUUGAUGUGAGAAGAAAGGUUGGGCUGUGGGAUAGCAGCCCAGCAUCCUAGUCUCUGGGCAAGACAAUCUCUAUUAUACAUCAACCCAUGUUCCAGAUUUCCUUAUGGAUCAGGCUGAGGCCUGAACUCUCCUUUAUCCUGUCUCCCUAUUCCCUUGCCCAUAUCUUCUGUAAUCUCCUUCCCAGCAAAUGACUUGCCAAAGAAUAUAGAAUUCUGCAUCUCAGGUUUUGCUUCUAGAGCAUCUGAUCUAAGAUAGUCAACUUGCAAAAGUGUCUUAUUCUCCCUGAAUUUCAGAGAUGAGAACUCUGAAUUUACUUCCUAAUACUUUCUACAUUGCAUUUUUUGUUGUCUAAUUACUGUCUACCUCCCCACCAGACAGUUUGCUCUCCAGGUAGAAACCAGUGCUUCACAGUUCUUUACCUGCAGAAGACACCAGUUGAUAGUGUUGAUUGAAGUAAUAUUCCUUAUUUAUCAGUGAUUUUGCUGCAGUAGGAAAAAUGACAAAGGCUAUGUAGAUUUGGUUUCCAGUUAGGUGUGGCUGUGUAAGAAACCAUCCCAAAAUUUGGUGAUUUAAUGUAACAAUCUAGUAACUUUCAUAGUUUUCUAUGCGGAGCUUAGCACAGCUGGGAAGCUCUUGUUUGGCUGCUCACCUGGUUGUAGCCAAAUGAUGGCUAGUACUGAAGUUGUCUGAAGGUUGGGGAUCCAAGAUGGCUCCUCUGAUUACAUGUCUGAUGCCUCAGGUAGGGUGACUGAAACACCUGGGGGCUGUUUGGCAUCAUUCUCUCUUUUUCUCUCCAUGUGGCCACUUGGGCUUCCUCCCAGCAUGGCAGACUUGGUGUCAUUAGUGGGACUUAGGAUAUGGCAGCUGGCUUUCUCCAGGGUGAAUGCCCCUAAAGACCAAAGCAGAAGUUGCAAGUGAUGCAAAGUGAGACUAUUGCCACAUUUUAUUGUUUCAGUGAAACAAUUGAAUCUGCCAGCCCAGAUUCAGUGCAGGAAAGGACCACAUGAGGAGCUGAACCACCACAAUGUGGAAGACUGGUUCACUGUUGGGCCCUCUUUAGAGACGAGGUGAUUGUUCCUUUACAAAUAAAAUGGACAGAACACCUGCUGAAUGGACCUUUGAUCAUACUUAAAAAGGACAUUAAUACUGGUGUACGCUCUCAUGAGUCCAUUAUACUAAUACAAGCUGUCAUUAUUAUAAGUCCUUGGGCCUGCUAUGUAAUUUCAACUAUUUUGACCUAAGGCAUUUGACUAUAUUCAGUCCAAUAAUUUGAUAACAUGUGUCAGUAAGUAAUUUUGCCAACACCUCUUGUCCCAAUUGUAGAAUACAGCCACAGACAAUGUGAUGCUUUCCCUGUAUUUUGUUUUAGCCCAACCAAACCGUCUGAGAAAAAGGUGCACUUGGAACAAAGUGUAAACUGAGGUCAGCUUGGCAGACUUUGUCUUGUGCAGGCACAAACCCUGGCAGACCUACAAACCUCUUAGAUAAUUUGUCAAACAUGAAAGAGUGUCGCUGAGACUUUUCACACUGCAUGAUAAAAGCUAAAUACAGCGCUCAAAAAAGGAAGCAUGGCAAAUUCUAUUUCCAUUUCCCAUAAUUUGGAAGUUCUAUCUUUAGUAGCAAUUUACAUUUUCCACACAAUUAAAGACUGUACCUAUUCUAAUUUACACUUCAAGUAUCCAAUUCAGCUGUGAUUUGCAUUUUUUCUCUAUUUAUCUGUUUAUCUGCUUCCCAGUGAGAAAGCUGGGCUUUGAAUCUUGACAUUAUCAGUUAAAACGUGGGUAACACUGGACACACUUGAUUAACCAUUUCAGAGAGUCAGUUGGCUCAUAUAUUAAAUGGAAAUAAGACAAUAUUUAAGGAGUUAUUGUGCAUCAUAAAGGCUCUGAGCACAGCCAGGCACAAAGUCCUGCAAUACUAGUACAUGUGCACUCAUUGUCUUUUAAUGCACUUUCUGUGGACACAUCUGGAGGGUCUGUGAAUAGGAAUUCACUAUAGGUAUUAUAACAGUUCUUCAGCUAUCACUGUCUAUUGUAAAUGUCAAGGUCAACACAUUCAAAAUCAAUUAGAUUUGUUUUUUGUUUUUUGUGUGUACCUCUAAACAAACUUUCAUAUAAAUCCAAGCCACCAACAAACACAAUUUUUCAGAUAAUUGUCUGGUGAUAAAGAUCUUUAUGUUUUUCUGAAAUAUUCAAAUGAAGAAGAA